Long non-coding RNA from Sphaerodactylus townsendi, 1266 nucleotides. RefSeq lists it as uncharacterized. The record is from RefSeq and is a predicted model, not a curated record. NCBI's taxonomy places the organism in Eukaryota, Metazoa, Chordata, Lepidosauria, Squamata, Sphaerodactylidae. The transcript is spliced from 3 exons.
GGCCUCUGCCCAAUCAGAGCGCGCACACAAGAAAGGGGAGGGGGGAAAGCGAGCGAGCCGGCCGGUUGUCCUCCUCGCGUAACGCUGAGAGUAGCCGGCUGGGCCGUAAAUUAAAGGUGGUGCUGAGGAGUGUUGGGCGGGGUGCAAAGGAGUGGCCAGGUCAACUGUACCCAGCCAAUCGACCGAGUUUAUGGCUGAUUUUGCACGCCGAAAUUGCCCCUGUGUGGGAAGCGGAGUCGAACUACCAGACCGACGACCAUGUCACUGCACGCAGCCCGUCCAGUCCAGUCAGGAUACGGACGGUUUCCGCAGACCAGCCUCCUUUGUCCGCGCGCUGCCCCAGCCGCGAAGGGGAACCAGCGGCACUACUACCGUUUUUGAAGAUUUGAAGGUCUGAAGGUGUAUCCUGAGUGGUUGCUGUCUAGUGUGGUAAUCAAUGAGUUUCCUGAUUCUCUUCUCUCCCAAGGACCACAGUGUUGCUUUACUUUUCAGACAGUGGGCUGACUGACACAUCAUCUGGAUUUUCUACAACUGACAACUCUGCACCUGACAGCUAGAACAUGAUGUUAUUCGAGCUCUACAUUUGAAGGGGAUGUUACAAUUCUUUUUGUGUUGUUAUACUGGUAGUGCCCCACUUACACAUGCAAGAGAUCAUUUGAUGGUGCAGUACUCAAGUAUUGAAACUGCAUAUUGGAAUCCACCCUCGCGCUUCAGAAAAAUGAACACCAUAUUUAUCUCUCUCAAAUCCAAAACUUUUUUAGGCAUUAAGUAAGAACACUCAAUCUAGGGUUUAUAUCUCUCUGCACUCCAGUGCCAGGAAUAAACCAAGAAUUUUUUUUUUAAGUGUCUCGUCUCAGUCCUUGCUGAAAUGCCAAGCAGCGCACCAGCGGAAAUUAAGGCAAAUGCCCUGGCAUUUAACAGUGGCCUUUUCACAAAUGCAUAGGUAAAAGGGAAGUCCUACUGAUGAAACUCUCCAGUAGCCUCAACGGGGUUUUGAACAGUUCCAGUGAAAUGUCAUGUCUUUUUAACAAAUAUGAUUUUCAUAGGAAUCAGCUCUUUCAUGCUUACUUUGAAGAUUGUCUUUGAUACCAGAAUUAAUUAGCGAAAAUAUUCCUGCAGGAGCAUUCACACAUUUUUAGGAAUAACAGCAAUGGGUGGGAAGGGCUAUUUCGUCAUCUCCUUUAUCUAUAACCUGUUUCAACAUUAAGUAGUCCUGCUGUAUAUUCAAUAUUUUUUCAAUAGUAAAGAAAAUAAUGAGAACAGGCA